Molecule: small RNA, 132 nt
Filed under: Klebsiella pneumoniae
Lineage: Bacteria; Pseudomonadati; Pseudomonadota; Gammaproteobacteria; Enterobacterales; Enterobacteriaceae
Also listed under: 12 other names
Description: RtT sRNA
Rfam family: RtT RNA
About the family: This family represents a bacterial cis-regulatory element known as RtT RNA.
Source: RNAcentral
UAUUCUGCCCCAUGGGGAAGGAUGAGAAGCUUCGACUAAGGUUCGACUCGAGCGCAGCGAGAGAACGUUGCCGCAGGCAACGGCCCGAAGGGCGAGGCGCUUUAGCGCCGAGUAAUCCUUCCCCCACCACCA